CCUACGGGAGGCAGCAGUGAGGAAUAUUGGUCAAUGGACGCAAGUCUGAACCAGCCAUGCCGCGUGCAGGAAGACGGCUCUAUGAGUUGUAAACUUCUUUUGUACGAGGGUAAACGCAGAUACGCGUAUCUGUCUGAAAGUAUCGGACGAAUAAGGAUCGGCUAACUCCGUGCCAGCAGCCGCGGUAAUACGGAGGAUUCAAGCGUUAUCCGGAUUUAUUGGGUUUAAAGGGUGCGUAGGCGGUCGGGUAAGUUAGGGGUGAAAGCCCGAGGCUCAACUUCGGAAUUGCAGUUGAUACUGUUCGGCUAGAGAGUAGUAGCGGUAGGCGGAAUGUAUGGUGUAGCGGUGAAAUGCUUAGAGAUCGUGCAGAACACCGAUUGCGAAGGCAGCUUACCGGGCUACUUCUGACGUUGAGGCACGAAAGCGUGGGGAGCGAACAGGAUUAGAUACCCUAGUAGUC
This 460-nucleotide ribosomal RNA is filed under the name uncultured bacterium. RNAcentral's name for it is "partial 16S ribosomal RNA". It matches the Rfam family "Bacterial small subunit ribosomal RNA", at positions 338 to 795 of the family's 1533-position model. The record is from RNAcentral.